Molecule: ribosomal RNA, 253 nt
Filed under: uncultured bacterium
Lineage: Bacteria
Description: partial 16S ribosomal RNA
Rfam family: Bacterial small subunit ribosomal RNA
Source: RNAcentral
UACAGAGGGUGCGAGCGUUAAUCGGAAUUACUGGGCGUAAAGCGUGCGCAGGCGGUUGUGCAAGACAGAUGUGAAAUCCCCGGGCUUAACCUGGGAAUGGCAUUUGUGACUGCACGGCUAGAGUGUGUCAGAGGGGGGUAGAAUUCCACGUGUAGCAGUGAAAUGCGUAGAUAUGUGGAGGAAUACCGAUGGCGAAGGCAGCCCCCUGGGAUAACACUGACGCUCAUGCACGAAAGCGUGGGGAGCAAACAGG